Molecule: non-coding RNA, 136 nt
Organism: Brachypodium distachyon (stiff brome)
Lineage: Eukaryota; Viridiplantae; Streptophyta; Magnoliopsida; Poales; Poaceae
Source: Rfam
AUGAUACUUUCUCCGCCCAACAAAGGAUGUCUCAAGUUUGACUAAAUUUGAAUGCAUCUAUACAAUAAGUCAUGUUUAAAUAUAUUCAAAUUUUGACAAAUUUUAAACAUCUUUUGUUGGACAGAGAGAGUACAUA